RNAcentral lists this microRNA precursor (84 nucleotides) under Bombyx mori (domestic silkworm). RNAcentral's name for it is "mir-2807 microRNA precursor family". It matches the Rfam family "mir-2807 microRNA precursor family". The record is from Rfam by way of RNAcentral. Lineage: Eukaryota; Metazoa; Arthropoda; Insecta; Lepidoptera; Bombycidae.
ACCUGUGUGCUUUGUAUGGAGUUGGAACGUUUGCCUACGUUUGCCGCCAGGGGCGCUGUUCCAACUCCAUACAAAUUUGAGCUA